RNAcentral lists this ribosomal RNA (253 nucleotides) under uncultured bacterium. RNAcentral's name for it is "partial 16S ribosomal RNA". It matches the Rfam family "Bacterial small subunit ribosomal RNA", at positions 524 to 777 of the family's 1533-position model. The record is from RNAcentral.
UACGAAGGGGGCUAGCGUUGCUCGGAAUUACUGGGCGUAAAGGGAGCGUAGGCGGGUUAUCAAGUUGGAGGUGAAAGCCCAGGCUCAACCUUGGAAUUGCCUUCAAAACUGAUAGCCUAGAGUAUGGAAGAGGUAAGUGGAACUCCGAGUGUAGAGGUGAAAUUCGUAGAUAUUCGGAAGAACACCAGUGGCGAAGGCGACUUACUGGUCCAUGACUGACGCUGAGGCUCGAAAGCGUGGGGAGCAAACAGGG